CGGGGCGUAGCUCAGUUCGGAUUAGAGCGCUUGGUUUGGGACCAAGAAGUCGGUGGUUCAAAUCCACUCGCCCCGACCA
RNAcentral lists this transfer RNA (79 nucleotides) under Candidatus Omnitrophota bacterium. RNAcentral's name for it is "tRNA-Pro". It matches the Rfam family "tRNA". From Rfam's summary of the family: Transfer RNA (tRNA) molecules are approximately 80 nucleotides in length. Their secondary structure includes four short double-helical elements and three loops (D, anti-codon, and T loops). Further hydrogen bonds mediate the characteristic L-shaped molecular structure. tRNAs have two regions of fundamental functional importance: the anti-codon, which is responsible for specific mRNA codon recognition, and the 3' end, to which the tRNAs corresponding amino acid is attached (by aminoacyl-tRNA synthetases). tRNAs cope with the degeneracy of the genetic code in two manners: having more than one tRNA (with a specific anti-codon) for a particular amino acid; and 'wobble' base-pairing, i.e. permitting non-standard base-pairing at the 3rd anti-codon position. The record is from RNAcentral. Lineage: Bacteria; Pseudomonadati; Candidatus Omnitrophota.